This 245-nucleotide long non-coding RNA is filed under the name Carica papaya (papaya). RNAcentral's name for it is "long non-coding RNA (CPAP_LNC002811)". The record is from RNAcentral. Lineage: Eukaryota; Viridiplantae; Streptophyta; Magnoliopsida; Brassicales; Caricaceae.
CGCUGAAAAAGACGUGGAGGAGGUUGGAACCUACACGUCGAAGAAGAAAAAAGAAGAGGCAUGCAGGGCUCUUCGUCCUUCCGUCUAUUAAAGAAAAAAAAUGAUAAAUCAGAAAAAAGAGAGAAGGGGAUCACGAAAGAGAGAAAACAACUCAGGAGAGAGAGAGAGAGAGAGAGAAAAAAAAAAGAGAGAUAAGGCUAGUCUGGUGCAUGCGAUAAUGAGAUCUGUGUGGCCGAUGAUCACGU